AGAGCUGUGGCAUAGUGGGUAAAGCUGCCGGCUGCAGUGCCGGCCUCCCAUAUGGGCAUGGGUUCAAGUCCCGGCUGCUCCA
Non-coding RNA from Oryctolagus cuniculus (rabbit), 82 nucleotides. NCBI's taxonomy places the organism in Eukaryota, Metazoa, Chordata, Mammalia, Lagomorpha, Leporidae. The record is from Rfam.